Molecule: unclassified non-coding RNA, 202 nt
Filed under: Polyporus arcularius
Lineage: Eukaryota; Fungi; Basidiomycota; Agaricomycetes; Polyporales; Polyporaceae
Description: ITS2
Source: RNAcentral
AUUCUCAACCUAACAAGUUCUUAACGGGACUUGCNUAGGCUUGGACUUGGAGGCUUGUCGGCUCUAGCAGUCGGCUCCUCUCAAAUGCAUUAGCUUGGUUCCUUGCGGAUCGGCUCACGGUGUGAUAAUUAUCUGCGCCGCGACCGUUGAAGCGUUUAAUGGCCAGCUUCUAAUCGUCUCUUGCGAGACAGCUUUCAUCGAA